RNAcentral lists this ribosomal RNA (468 nucleotides) under uncultured bacterium. Its description in RNAcentral is "partial 16S ribosomal RNA". It matches the Rfam family "Bacterial small subunit ribosomal RNA", at positions 28 to 507 of the family's 1533-position model. The record is from RNAcentral.
GACGAACGCUGGCGGCGUGCUUAACACAUGCAAGUCGAACGGAAAGGCCCUGCUUUUGUGGGGUGCUCGAGUGGCGAACGGGUGAGUAACACGUGAGUAACCUGCCCUUGACUUUGGGAUAACUUCAGGAAACUGGGGCUAAUACCGGAUAGGAGCUCCUGCUGCAUGGUGGGGGUUGGAAAGUUUCGGCGGUUGGGGAUGGACUCGCGGCUUAUCAGCUUGUUGGUGGGGUAGUGGCUUACCAAGGCUUUGACGGGUAGCCGGCCUGAGAGGGUGACCGGCGACAAGGGGACUGAGAGACGGACCAGACUCCUACGGGAGGCAGCAGUGGGGAAUAUUGCACAAUGGGCGGAAGCCUGAUGCAGAAACGCCGCGUGCGGGAUGACGGCCUUCGGGUUGUAAACCGCUUUCGCCUGUGACGAAGCGUGAGUGACGGUAAUGGGUAAAGAAGCACCGGCUAACUACGUG